This is a long non-coding RNA of Alnus glutinosa, 1247 nucleotides long. RefSeq lists it as uncharacterized. The record is from RefSeq and is a predicted model, not a curated record. The transcript is spliced from 2 exons. Lineage: Eukaryota; Viridiplantae; Streptophyta; Magnoliopsida; Fagales; Betulaceae.
CCAUUGGCGGACCUAUAUGGGGGCUAGGGGGGGCCUUGGCCCCCCCAACCUCCAAAAUUUCCCCCCCCCAAAAAAAAAAAAAAAAAUCUAUAUAUAUAUAUAUAUAAAAUUUUACCCUAAAUUUUGUUUAUUUUUUUAGUUUGCCCCCCCAAAAUUUUCUUCUUUCAAUUUGGCCCCCCAUAUUUAUAAGGUUGGGUCCGCCACUGAUCUCCUCCCUCAACUUCGCCGUCGACGGGCUCCAUCUCUGUCCAGCUCCAUCGCCACUUUUCCCCUCAAAAACCUCACUCUCUCGAUCUCCUCCCUCGACGCCCCCGUCGACGGGCUCCAUCUCCGGCCGUUCAUCUCCACGCCACCGUUGAUCAGCUCCAUCUUCGGUCGUUCAAUCUCCACGUCCAGAUAAUUAGAUGUCGUCGAAUUGGUCAUCAUUGGGAAAAUGGCAAUGAAGAUAUUAAUGGACGAAGAAAAAUCAAGGAAGACAGUUCUUUGGAUGCCCUCAAUACGGCAAAGGCCAACAUUGCAAUUAUUUUGAAUAGUUUGAACCACGCAUUUCUGAACAUAGCGGCAAGCUUGUAAACGAAAUGAGGGUGAUGAUUAAGACCAUGAAAGAACUUUGUAAACAUGCAAAAAAAAAAAAAAAAAAGAGGAGCCAUCAAAAUGUCCUUUGUGUCAUGGGGAUUAAUGCUUUUUGUUCUAUGUAAUUAGUUGUAAUUUUAUUUCUUUAACCUUAAAGAUGUAGAAUGGAUUAUCUUCAGAAUUGUUUUUUGUUUUGUCGUCCAUGAAGAACAAUUUGAAGCCAUAAUCUCAUUAUUUGGAUGCUUAAUUGAGCAAAUUGUUAUGUGAGUUUGUAAUUUGAUUGCAAAUUUUAUUUUGCUGUAAAAAUGCUUUUAUUGCAAACUGUAUUGCUGCUAUGGGUUUGGUUUCACGGUCAGGGAGAUCUAAAAGAGACAACCAUGACAACACAUUCACAGCCAGAGGUAUCUAGUGGUUCAGAUCAUGAAGGAACCAACUCUUGUUCAGAUUUGAUGGAAUAAACUGAUUGAUGCAAUGCUUCUCAAGGACUCAUCUUAUUUUCCUUUGUAAAUCCUGUAUUUUUUUUUCCACAAGAUGUAGAUAUGUGGCUGUAGCUUUACCUUUUUUAAUUUGUAACUAAUGGAAAAUCCCAACAUUUGUUGUUCUCGUUUUUGCCCCAGUUGUACUAGUCCUUGAUUAGAAUUUGAAUGAAAAUUGGAUUUUGUUUUGGCAGCAAA